UCUCGUGAUGAUGGCGAAGGGGAAACCCCUGUUUACAUACCGAACACAGAAGUAAAGUCCUUCAGCGCUGAAAGUACUUGGUGGGCAACUGCCUGGGAGGAUAGGACAUCGCGGGGUCUUUUU
RNAcentral lists this ribosomal RNA (123 nucleotides) under Eubacterium limosum. The record is from RNAcentral. Lineage: Bacteria; Bacillati; Bacillota; Clostridia; Eubacteriales; Eubacteriaceae.